GUAAUGUUCUGAAAUUAUUACUGCUUUCCUUUGGGUUUAUUAUCAAGAUUUCAUGUAUUAACAGAGCGUCUCUUAUUAACUUUUAGAAGCGAAGAAUCAUCACCAGUAGAGAAGCAAAAAACAAAGAAAAAGACUCAGAGAACACCACAAAAGACACAAUCCAAAAAGAAAAAGGUCAUUGUUGAGGAUUCAUCUCCUGAGCAAGCUCAAUCCUAUCAUGGAUCUGAAAUUGGAACUGAAGAAUUAGAUGAAUUCUUAAGGGAA
Molecule: non-coding RNA, 264 nt
Organism: Arachis ipaensis
Lineage: Eukaryota; Viridiplantae; Streptophyta; Magnoliopsida; Fabales; Fabaceae
Source: RefSeq, a predicted model, not a curated record